Molecule: long non-coding RNA, 906 nt
Filed under: Marmota monax (woodchuck)
Lineage: Eukaryota; Metazoa; Chordata; Mammalia; Rodentia; Sciuridae
Source: RNAcentral
CAAGGCCUCUCCAUUCUCCAGUGGACAAGUGGGUGGUUCCUUCAGUGAAGAACCCCACUAUGUCUGCAGCUUCUCUAUCACGCCAAUUCUCAAUGUCCUCCUCUGGUCAAUCUCAGCUUCCAGAGGCCUCAGGCUGACCUCGAGGGCCUCCAUCUCCUUUUGGAGAUGUAUUGUAAGCUGGAUAUCAGUUCAGGAUAACUGGUCUGCAGUAUCUGGAAGCACUUGCAAAUCAAAUAUUGGAGAAAGGCAAGAAAUGUAAGGGACAUCAUGGGAAAUGUUUAGGACUUCCUUUGUUUCCAGCUUUUUUGUGGGCCUAUGCCUAACUAAGAGAAUAGUCCCUAAGAUCUCUUUGACUGAACUUAGAUAACCAGGUGACAUUUUAUCUUAAUUGAUUAAUUGAUUGAUUUACUUCUGGAAAUGCUAUCCAUGAUGAAAUAAGUAAUUGAAUUUCCCUCAUGUUUGAUGUCCAGUAAAUGAUUGAGGGUGAUUCUAUUGCCUAGAACUAUUUCAAUUGAUUAACGUAUGUUGGUCCAUUAGACCUCUAAUAGUUGUGCUGUUUUAUUUGCUAUGUGGGCCUUAGUCAGGGAUAAAUUGCAGAAUAUCCAACUUAAUUUAACUAAGGUAGACUUUUGUACAAACCAGUGAACUCCAAUAUUUCUGACACCUUCUAAUAAAUGAACACCACUUUAACUUGAUAUUAUUAUGCAAGCAGCCUCUUCCAGAUUGGUUAACAUAUUCAUGGGCCAGAAGGGUGGUUCAUCCCAACUUUAAGAGGAGAGAAGCUCUUGUACUCCGCAACUUCUGGACCUAGACAUAUCUAUGUACUUCUUCAUUUGGCUGCUCACGUGUUUUUAUUUUAUAAUAUCUUUUAAAAUAAACUGGUAAGUUGCUUCCCUGAGUUCUGAG